UGAGGAAUAUUGGGCAAUGGGCGAAAGCCUGACCCAGCCACGCCGCGUGUGUGAUGAAGGCCUUCGGGUCGUAAAGCACUGUGGGGAGAGACGAAAAAGCGCAUCAGGAAAUGGUUGCGCCUUGACGGUACCUCCUUAGCAAGCACCGGCUAACUCUGUGCCAGCAGCCGCGGUAAUACAGAGGGUGCGAACGUUAAUCGGAAUUACUGGGCGUAAAGCGCGCGUAGGCGGUUUGUUAAGUCAGCUGUGAAAGCCCUGGGCUCAACCUGGGAACUGCAGUUGAUACUGGCCGACUAGAGUACGAGAGAGGGAGGUAGAAUUCCAUGUGUAGCGGUGAAAUGCGUAGAUAUAUGGAGGAAUACCAGUGGCGAAGGCGGCCUCCUGGCUCGAUACUGACGCUGAGGUGCGAAAGCGUGGGGAUCAAACAGGAUUAGAUACCCUGGUAGUCCACGCCGUAAACGGUGUCUACUAGCCGUUGGGAGACUUGAUUUCUUAGUGGCGCAGCUAACGCAAUAAGUAGACCGCCUGGGGAGUACGGCCGCAAGGUUAAAACUCAAAGGAAUUGACGG
This 569-nucleotide ribosomal RNA is filed under the name uncultured Gammaproteobacteria bacterium. RNAcentral's name for it is "bacterial SSU rRNA". It matches the Rfam family "Bacterial small subunit ribosomal RNA", at positions 355 to 916 of the family's 1533-position model. Lineage: Bacteria; Pseudomonadati; Pseudomonadota; Gammaproteobacteria. The record is from RNAcentral.